This 497-nucleotide ribosomal RNA is filed under the name uncultured bacterium. RNAcentral describes it as "partial 16S ribosomal RNA". It matches the Rfam family "Bacterial small subunit ribosomal RNA", at positions 28 to 507 of the family's 1533-position model. The record is from RNAcentral.
GAUGAACGCUGGCGGCGUGCCUAAUACAUGCAAGUCGAGCGAACGGACGAGAAGCUUGCUUCUCUGAUGUUAGCGGCGGACGGGUGAGUAACACGUGGAUAACCUACCUAUAAGACUGGGAUAACUUCGGGAAACCGUAGCUAAUACCGGAUAAUAUUUUGAACCUCAUGGUUCAAAAGUUAAAGACGGUCUUGCUGUCACUUAUAGAUGGAUCCGCGCUGCAUUAGCUAGUUGGUAAGGUAACGGCUUACCAAGGCAACGAUGCAUAGCCGACCUGAGAGGGGGAUCGGCCACACUGGAACUGAGACACGGUCCAGACUCCUACGGGAGGCAGCAGUAGGGAAUAUUCCGCAAUGGGCGAAAGCAUGACGGAGCAACGCCGCGUGAGUGAUGAAGGUCUUCGGAUCGUAAAACUCUGUUAUUAGGGAAGAACAUAUGUGUAAGUAACUGUGCACAUCUUGACGGUACCUAAUCAGAAAGCCACGGCUAACUACGUG